RNAcentral lists this ribosomal RNA (485 nucleotides) under uncultured bacterium. RNAcentral's name for it is "bacterial SSU rRNA". It matches the Rfam family "Bacterial small subunit ribosomal RNA", at positions 33 to 507 of the family's 1533-position model. The record is from RNAcentral.
GACGACGCUGGCGGCGUGGAUUAGGCAUGCAAGUCGAACGGUAUCAUCCUUUCGGGGGUGAGAGAGUGGCGAACUGGUGAGUAACACGUAGGUUAUCUACCCUCAAGACGGGACAACCCAGGGAAACUUGGGCUAAUACCGGAUGUGAGCAACUUUUAGUUGUUUGAAAGGUGGCGUAAGCUGUCGCUUGGGGAUGAGCCUGCGUCCUAUUAGUUAGUUGGUGAGGUAACGGCUCACCUAGGCAAUGAUAGGUAGGCGGCCUUAACGGGUGGUCGCCCACACUGGGAUUGAGAUACGGCCCAGACUCCUACGGGAGGCAGCAGUCGAGAAUAGUCUACAAUGGUCGGAAGACUGAUAGUGCGACGCCGCGUGAACGAUGAAUCCCUUCGGGGUGUAAAGUUCUUUUAUAUGUGAGCAGUGCUUCUUAUAUUAACAGUAUGGGGAGAGAGAUAUUAGCAUAUGAAUAAGCAACGGCUAACUCCGUG